RNAcentral lists this transfer RNA (73 nucleotides) under Nematostella vectensis (starlet sea anemone). It matches the Rfam family "tRNA". From Rfam's summary of the family: Transfer RNA (tRNA) molecules are approximately 80 nucleotides in length. Their secondary structure includes four short double-helical elements and three loops (D, anti-codon, and T loops). The record is from Rfam by way of RNAcentral. Lineage: Eukaryota; Metazoa; Cnidaria; Anthozoa; Actiniaria; Edwardsiidae.
GGCCUUGUGGCCCAAUGGAUAAGGCGCCUGACUACGGAUCAGGAGAUUCUAGGUUCGAGUCCUGGCAGGGUCG